AAAAUGACUCUCGGCAACGGAUAUCUCGGCUCUUGCAUCGAUGAAGAACGUAGCGAAAUGCGAUACUUGGUGUGAAUUGCAGAAUCCCGUGAACCAUCGAGUCUUUGAACGCAAGUUGCGCCCAAAGCCAUUAGGCCGAGGGCAAGCCUGCCUGGGUGUCACAC
RNAcentral lists this ribosomal RNA (164 nucleotides) under Phaseolus vulgaris (common bean). Its description in RNAcentral is "5.8S ribosomal RNA". It matches the Rfam family "5.8S ribosomal RNA". Rfam says of the family: 5.8S ribosomal RNA (5.8S rRNA) is a component of the large subunit of the eukaryotic ribosome. It is transcribed by RNA polymerase I as part of the 45S precursor that also contains 18S and 28S rRNA. The record is from RNAcentral. Lineage: Eukaryota; Viridiplantae; Streptophyta; Magnoliopsida; Fabales; Fabaceae.